GACGAACGCUGGCGGCGUGCUUAACACAUGCAAGUCGAACGAAGUGGCGAACGGGUAAGUAAUACGUGGGUAACCUGCGCUCCUUUUUGGGAUAAGCCUUGGAAACGGGGACUAAUACCGCAUAAAGGGGGAUGGGCUCGCGGCCUAUCAGCUUGUUGGUGGGGUGAUGGCCUACCAAGGCGGUGACGGGUAGCCGGGCUGAGAGGCCGACCUGGCACAUUGGCACGGACCUGCGUCCUAGACGAGGAAGGGGUGCAGCAUUGUGGGCUAUUGGACAAAGGGCGAAGGCCUCAUGCAGCGAGUCUGCGUGGGGGAUGAGGGUUGUCGGGUUGUUACCCUCUUUCGCUAUGGAACGGUUAGGGGGAGAAGAAGCGCCGGCUAACUACGUGCCAGCAGCCGCGGUAAUUC
RNAcentral lists this ribosomal RNA (408 nucleotides) under uncultured bacterium. Its description in RNAcentral is "partial 16S ribosomal RNA". It matches the Rfam family "Bacterial small subunit ribosomal RNA", at positions 28 to 526 of the family's 1533-position model. The record is from RNAcentral.